CAAUGCUGCCUGGUGGAGUAUGACUGAAGGUCGCUGGAUCACACUUGGUUUUGAUCUGAGAUCACAACUCUUUGCUGUCCUGCUCCUAAAUGGUGGAACGAGCUUUCUGAUGACGCCAGGACCACAGAGAGCCUUCACAUCUUAAAUUAGUUUGUUUUCUCAGCAAUAAUUCCACUUGCUGUCUGUAGAGGGAACCUUGUCUUCAAGCCAAUGCUGCUGCCUGGAGUGACGGCCUCAUCGAAACGUGGCAGCUGAUGUUUUUUCAUAAUUCUCAUUCUAGCAAAAUCAUCCGGCGGGCCGUGUGUUUGACGCCCCUGAACUAGAUGAUGUCUACGCCAUCUGUAUUUUGGCGGGGGACACCAAGACCCGGUGGGGAUUUAAUCAGUCGGUGGUUUAAGGUGGCAAUGCC
Long non-coding RNA from Gasterosteus aculeatus aculeatus (three-spined stickleback), 409 nucleotides. NCBI's taxonomy places the organism in Eukaryota, Metazoa, Chordata, Actinopteri, Perciformes, Gasterosteidae. The record is from Ensembl.